GCUGGGGUCAAGGCCAUUCUUUACAUUCUAUUACAAUACAAAAAGGAAGCAACAGCGUUCCCCUCUCCUACGACCCUCUGCCUGGCUCCAGAAGCAUCCACAUAGACCAAUACAUGCAGGCCAUUAGAAGAGGAAUCAUCGUUGUCUUGGACCAUGAAGGGCAGAAGGCACCAGUUUUGGUCAGCGUCUAUCCAGAAGGAUGCUGGGCCUUCCAGGGGCAUCUGUGGUCCCUGUCCUCUGCUCUUUGGUGGCUGAUGUUAUCCAGAGUUAACUAAAAGCUCCUUCUGAGCCGCACUAACACAGCGCUGAUACUCCUUAGCCAGCUCCGAGCAUUUGAGCACUUCACGUUGGUUUUCUUGAUAGCACUUGAGAAUUUCAGACUGCAGACUGGCACAGACAGGAUCAGUGUUCCUCCUCUUUAUCCAUUCCUCUGCCUUGGUGGCUGCCUCCUGGUACUGCUCCGACGUCAGCUUGUAGAUUUCUGCAUUCUUCCUCUCAAUGCGGGCCAACUGCUCUUUAUAGAAGGCUUCUUGCCGCUUCAGCUCUGCCUCCCUGCCUUGCAGCUCCAGGGCCAGCUGAGCCACUCUCUUCCUCUCUUCAUUAGUGCUGUUCCUUUCCCGCUGAAGGGCAGUACUCAGCGUCUCACCAGCUGCUUCCCUUUCUCUUUUGGCCAGCCGGAGCAGCUCCUCUUGGACCAGGGCCUGCUCCUGCUCAUACCUCCUGUACAAUUCCUGCUCUGCAACCGUAGCCUUCUGACCAGAGUUACUUGCUGUUGGGGGCUGGAUUCCUGUAGGAGAUUUGGGUUUCCCUUCCGCAGCUGUUGAAAAUGGAGCUGUACCACUGGAUGAGUGGGGUGACCUCUGGUUGUCCCUUUUACUUUGAGAUUCUUUCAUUCGAUUCACUACAUCUUCAGUGAGCCUGAUGCCCUGCAGCACCCGGACUUGGUCCCGCUCGUCCAGCCCGAAGGACACCUUCCUGCCGCCCUGGCUGCUCUCGCUGCCCCCCAUGCCGGCGGGGCGGCCGUUGGGGACGCCUCUCCCACAGAGCAGAGCAGCACCUCCCC
RNAcentral lists this long non-coding RNA (1063 nucleotides) under Gallus gallus (chicken). Lineage: Eukaryota; Metazoa; Chordata; Aves; Galliformes; Phasianidae. The record is from RNAcentral.